Molecule: non-coding RNA, 75 nt
Organism: Podarcis lilfordi (Lilford's wall lizard)
Lineage: Eukaryota; Metazoa; Chordata; Lepidosauria; Squamata; Lacertidae
Source: the annotation of a GenBank genome assembly
GGAGAGGCUGUAGCUCAGUGGCGCAGCAUCGGCUUUGCAUGCAGAAGGUCCCAGGUUCAAUCCCCGGCAUCUCCA